CGAGGGUGUAGCAUUGGCAAGCAACGAGGAGAUCAGACUGGCUGCCUCAAAGUGUUUAUGGGAGAGUGGGUACAGUGGGAGAAGAGAAUGCAAACUUUGGACUUUCGAGAGUGACCUCUCAGCUGCCACCUGGGAGGAGCUGGAGGACAAAGGACUUCACAGAAGAAUGGAGUCCCAAAGAAACAGCUUCAGGAACUGAGGAGAGCCAGAAAUUUAAUGUAUUUAGGGCUCCCUUGUGAAAACACAAAAACAAAAAUAAAAAUGCCUCCCGCUGCCUCGACAUCUCUAUUCCACUGAUGCCCGACCAUUCUUUUGAAAAACAAAC
Molecule: long non-coding RNA, 325 nt
Filed under: Homo sapiens (human)
Lineage: Eukaryota; Metazoa; Chordata; Mammalia; Primates; Hominidae
Description: HSALNT0327319
Source: RNAcentral